GGUUAAGCGACUAAGCGUACACGGUGGAUGCCCUGGCAGUCAGAGGCGAUGAAGGACGUGCUAAUCUGCGAUAAGCGUCGGUGAGGUGAUAUGAACCGUUAUAACCGGCGAUUUCCGAAUGGGGAAACCCAGUGUGUUUCGACACACUAUCAUUAACUGAAUCCAUAGGUUAAUGAGGCGAACCGGGGGAACUGAAACAUCUAAGUACCCCGAGGAAAAGAAAUCAACCGAGAUUCCCCCAGUAGCGGCGAGCGAACGGGGAGGAGCCCAGAGCCUGAAUCAGUGUGUGUGUUAGUGGAAGCGUCUGGAAAGGCGCGCGAUACAGGGUGACAGCCCCGUACACAAAAAUGCACAUACUGUGAGCUCGAUGAGUAGGGCGGGACACGUGGUAUCCUGUCUGAAUAUGGGGGGACCAUCCUCCAAGGCUAAAUACUCCUGACUGACCGAUAGUGAACCAGUACCGUGAGGGAAAGGCGAAAAGAACCCCGGCGAGGGGAGUGAAAAAGAACCUGAAACCGUGUACGUACAAGCAGUGGGAGCCUCUUUAUGGGGUGACUGCGUACCUUUUGUAUAAUGGGUCAGCGACUUAUAUUCUGUAGCAAGGUUAACCGAAUAGGGGAGCCGAAGGGAAACCGAGUCUUAACUGGGCGUUAAGUUGCAGGGUAUAGACCCGAAACCCGGUGAUCUAGCCAUGGGCAGGUUGAAGGUUGGGUAACACUAACUGGAGGACCGAACCGACUAAUGUUGAAAAAUUAGCGGAUGACUUGUGGCUGGGGGUGAAAGGCCAAUCAAACCGGGAGAUAGCUGGUUCUCCCCGAAAGCUAUUUAGGUAGCGCCUCGUGAAUUCAUCUCCGGGGGUAGAGCACUGUUUCGGCAAGGGGGUCAUCCCGACUUACCAACCCGAUGCAAACUGCGAAUACCGGAGAAUGUUAUCACGGGAGACACACGGCGGGUGCUAACGUCCGUCGUGAAGAGGGAAACAACCCAGACCGCCAGCUAAGGUCCCAAAGUCAUGGUUAAGUGGGAAACGAUGUGGGAAGGCCCAGACAGCCAGGAUGUUGGCUUAGAAGCAGCCAUCAUUUAAAGAAAGCGUAAUAGCUCACUGGUCGAGUCGGCCUGCGCGGAAGAUGUAACGGGGCUAAACCAUGCACCGAAGCUGCGGCAGCGACACUAUGUGUUGUUGGGUAGGGGAGCGUUCUGUAAGCCUGUGAAGGUGUACUGUGAGGUAUGCUGGAGGUAUCAGAAGUGCGAAUGCUGACAUAAGUAACGAUAAAGCGGGUGAAAAGCCCGCUCGCCGGAAGACCAAGGGUUCCUGUCCAACGUUAAUCGGGGCAGGGUGAGUCGACCCCUAAGGCGAGGCCGAAAGGCGUAGUCGAUGGGAAACAGGUUAAUAUUCCUGUACUUGGUGUUACUGCGAAGGGGGGACGGAGAAGGCUAUGUUGGCCGGGCGACGGUUGUCCCGGUUUAAGCGUGUAGGCUGGUUUUCCAGGCAAAUCCGGAAAAUCAAGGCUGAGGCGUGAUGACGAGGCACUACGGUGCUGAAGCAACAAAUGCCCUGCUUCCAGGAAAAGCCUCUAAGCAUCAGGUAACAUUAAAUCGUACCCCAAACCGACACAGGUGGUCAGGUAGAGAAUACCAAGGCGCUUGAGAGAACUCGGGUGAAGGAACUAGGCAAAAUGGUGCCGUAACUUCGGGAGAAGGCACGCUGAUAUGUAGGUGAAGCGACUUGCUCGUGGAGCUGAAAUCAGUCGAAGAUACCAGCUGGCUGCAACUGUUUAUUAAAAACACAGCACUGUGCAAACACGAAAGUGGACGUAUACGGUGUGACGCCUGCCCGGUGCCGGAAGGUUAAUUGAUGGGGUUAGCGGUAACGCGAAGCUCUUGAUCGAAGCCCCGGUAAACGGCGGCCGUAACUAUAACGGUCCUAAGGUAGCGAAAUUCCUUGUCGGGUAAGUUCCGACCUGCACGAAUGGCGUAAUGAUGGCCAGGCUGUCUCCACCCGAGACUCAGUGAAAUUGAACUCGCUGUGAAGAUGCAGUGUACCCGCGGCAAGACGGAAAGACCCCGUGAACCUUUACUAUAGCUUGACACUGAACAUUGAGCCUUGAUGUGUAGGAUAGGUGGGAGGCUUUGAAGUGUGGACGCCAGUCUGCAUGGAGCCGGCCUUGAAAUACCACCCUUUAAUGUUUGAUGUUCUAACGUUGGCCCCUGACCGGGGUUGCGGACAGUGUCUGGUGGGUAGUUUGACUGGGGCGGUCUCCUCCUAAAGAGUAACGGAGGAGCACGAAGGUUGGCUAAUCCUGGUCGGACAUCAGGAGGUUAGUGCAAUGGCAUAAGCCAGCUUGACUGCGAGCGUGACGGCGCGAGCAGGUGCGAAAGCAGGUCAUAGUGAUCCGGUGGUUCUGAAUGGAAGGGCCAUCGCUCAACGGAUAAAAGGUACUCCGGGGAUAACAGGCUGAUACCGCCCAAGAGUUCAUAUCGACGGCGGUGUUUGGCACCUCGAUGUCGGCUCAUCACAUCCUGGGGCUGAAGUAGGUCCCAAGGGUAUGGCUGUUCGCCAUUUAAAGUGGUACGCGAGCUGGGUUUAGAACGUCGUGAGACAGUUCGGUCCCUAUCUGCCGUGGGCGCUGGAGAACUGAGGGGGGCUGCUCCUAGUACGAGAGGACCGGAGUGGACGCAUCACUGGUGUUCGGGUUGUCAUGCCAAUGGCACUGCCCGGUAGCUAAAUGCGGAAGAGAUAAGUGCUGAAAGCAUCUAAGCACGAAACUUGCCCCGAGAUGAGUUCUCCCUGACUCCUUGAGAGUCCUGAAGGAACGUUGAAGACGACGACGUUGAUAGGCCGGGUGUGUAAGCGCAGCGAUGCGUUGAGCUAACCGGUACUAAUGAACCGUGAGGCUUAACCUU
RNAcentral lists this ribosomal RNA (2904 nucleotides) under Escherichia coli. RNAcentral describes it as "23S ribosomal RNA". It matches the Rfam family "Bacterial large subunit ribosomal RNA". The record is from RNAcentral. Lineage: Bacteria; Pseudomonadati; Pseudomonadota; Gammaproteobacteria; Enterobacterales; Enterobacteriaceae.